Aspergillus flavus NRRL3357 is the source of this 120-nucleotide non-coding RNA. The record is from Rfam. Lineage: Eukaryota; Fungi; Ascomycota; Eurotiomycetes; Eurotiales; Aspergillaceae.
ACAUACGACCAUAGGGUGUGGAGAACAGGGCUUCCCGUCCGCUCAGCCGUACUUAAGCCACACGCCGGAAGGUUAGUAGUUGGGUGGGUGACCACCAGCGAAUCCCUUCUGUUGUAUGUU